Molecule: ribosomal RNA, 497 nt
Filed under: uncultured bacterium
Lineage: Bacteria
Description: partial 16S ribosomal RNA
Rfam family: Bacterial small subunit ribosomal RNA
Source: RNAcentral
GAUGAACGCUGGCGGCGUGCCUAAUACAUGCAAGUCGAGCGAACAGAUGAGGAGCUUGCUCCUCUGACGUUAGCGGCGGACGGGUGAGUAACACGUGGAUAACCUACCUAUAAGACUGGGAUAACUUCGGGAAACCGGAGCUAAUACCGGAUAAUAUAUUGAACCGCAUGGUUCAAUAGUGAAAGACGGUUUUGCUGUCUCUUAUAGAUGGAUCCGCGCCGCAUUAGCUAGUUGGUAAGGUAACGGCUUACCAAGGCAACGAUGCGUAGCCGACCUGAGAGGGUGAUCGGCCACACUGGAACUGAGACACGGUCCAGACUCCUACGGGAGGCAGCAGUAGGGAAUCUUCCGCAAUGGGCGAAAGCCUGACGGAGCAACGCCGCGUGAGUGAUGAAGGUCUUCGGAUCGUAAAACUCUGUUAUUAGGGAAGAACAAAUGUGUAAGUAACUAUGCACGUCUUGACGGUACCUAAUCAGAAAGCAACGGCUAACUACGUG